GACGAACGCUGGCGGCGUGCUUAACACAUGCAAGUCGAACGGAAAGGCCCUGCUUUUGUGGGGUGCUCGAGUGGCGAACGGGUGAGUAACACGUGAGUAACCUGCCCUUGACUUUGGGAUAACUUCAGGAAACUGGGGCUAAUACCGGAUAGGAGCUCCUGCUGCAUGGUGGGGGUUGGAAAGUUUCGGCGGUUGGGGAUGGACUCGCGGCUUAUCAGCUUGUUGGUGGGGUAGUGGCUUACCAAGGCCUUGACGGGUAGCCGGCCUGAGAGGGUGACCGGCCACAUUGGGACUGAGAUACGGCACAGACUACUACGGGAGGCAGCAGUGGGGAAUAUUGCACAAUGGGCGGAAGCCUGAUGCAGCAACGCCGCGUGCGGGAUGACGGCCUUCGGGUUGUAAACCGCUUUCGCCUGUGACGAAGCGUGAGUGACGGUAAUGGGUAAAGAAGCACCGGCUAACUACGUG
Molecule: ribosomal RNA, 468 nt
Filed under: uncultured bacterium
Lineage: Bacteria
Description: partial 16S ribosomal RNA
Rfam family: Bacterial small subunit ribosomal RNA
Source: RNAcentral